RNAcentral lists this ribosomal RNA (430 nucleotides) under uncultured bacterium. RNAcentral describes it as "bacterial SSU rRNA". It matches the Rfam family "Bacterial small subunit ribosomal RNA", at positions 958 to 1392 of the family's 1533-position model. The record is from RNAcentral.
AACGCGAAGAACCUUACCUACCCUUGACAUGGUCGGAAUCCUGCAGAGAUGCGGGAGUGCUCGAAAGAGAACCGGCACACAGGUGCUGCAUGGCUGUCGUCAGCUCGUGUCGUGAGAUGUUGGGUUAAUUCCCGCAACGAGCGCAACCCUUGUCAUUAGUUGCUACGAAAGGGCACUCUAAUGAGACUGCCGGUGACAAACCGGAGGAAGGUAGGGAUGGCGUCAAGUCCUCAUGGCCCUUAUGGGUAGGGCUUCACACGUCAUACAAUGGUCGGUACAGAGGGCUGCCAACCCGCAAGGGGGAGCCAAUCCCUUAAAACCGAUCGUAGUCCGGAUUGAGGUCUGCAACUCGACCUCAUGAAGUCGGAAUCGCUAGUAAUCGCGGAUCAGCAUGUCGCGGUGAAUACGUUCCCGGGUCUUGUACACACCG